Molecule: long non-coding RNA, 338 nt
Organism: Rosa chinensis
Lineage: Eukaryota; Viridiplantae; Streptophyta; Magnoliopsida; Rosales; Rosaceae
Exons: 4
Source: RefSeq, a predicted model, not a curated record
AAUAAGAAAAGAAUUGGUUCUUCAUGAACAGGUACUCUUCAAUGAUACAAUAUACCACAACAUUCAUUAUGGCCGUCUUUCAGCAACAAAAGAAGAGGUGUAUGAAGCUGCUCGACGUGCAGCAAUACAUGAUACUAUCAUGAACUUUCCCGACAGAUAUUCUACUGAAGUGGGGGAACGGGGGCUCAAGUUAAGUGGUGGGGAGAAGCAGCGUGUGGCACUGGCUCGUGCAUUCUUGAAAGCACCUCCAAUUCUGUUAUGUGAUGAAGCUACAAGUGCACUAGAUAGCACCACAGAAGCGGAAAUAUUUAGUGCAUUGAAGUCCUUGGCAACCAACC